Molecule: long non-coding RNA, 386 nt
Organism: Tupaia belangeri chinensis (Chinese tree shrew)
Lineage: Eukaryota; Metazoa; Chordata; Mammalia; Scandentia; Tupaiidae
Exons: 3
Source: RefSeq, a predicted model, not a curated record
CAUUCAAAGGUCUGUGAUUGUAUGAACUUAGAAACUUGGUCUCGACAGGUACUCUCCAAAGAAGACCAGGAGCUGACUAGUUAAAAGGAUUCAGCAUGUGCGGAAGAGAGGAGCUGAUCUGCCAGUGCCCGUGCUAUCCUAGGCUGCUCCCGGAAGUACCACGUCACUUUCUCAAAUAAAACGAGCAGGUUGGACCCGAUGAUUCACGGCCUUUGUAACCGGCAUUCUGCUGCCACCCUAGCCUGAGGCUGAAGUUCUCAAGCUGGCCUGGGACUCAAGUUCUCAAGCUGAUCUGCGGCUGAAGUCAUCAAACUGGCCUGGGACUGAGGUUAUUAAGAUUCCUAGGAACCCUCUCGUCCAAAAGACCCUUCCCGGUAAUCAAGAUC